AAUGAUGAAGCUAAUCAAAAAAGUUUCUCUUCCUCGCUUCCUGCUCUCAUUCGUACACUCGGAGAAAAAUGGAAUCAGUGUGAGUAUUUUCACUCUAAGAAUUAGAACUUUUUAUCUCUAAAUUGGAUUUGAUUGUGUGCUUUUUGUUGCUCAGUGUAUAUUUGCCAGUAUUUCUUUUCGUAAGGCAAGAUGGAGUUGACUUUUGCCAUCGCAUCCUCUUUGGCCAUUGUCUCUGGCUCCAGAGGCAAAACUUUGCUCAUGAACUUAAUGCCAGAGGUGAGGGCUGGCCUGGGCUGGUCUGGGCUGUGCUGUGCUGGAAGUAGCUACUGGAUACUGGAUACUGGAUACUGGUGACUGGCUCUGCGGAUGGUAUUGGAGGUGCAUAAUGCGUGCCAUCAUCCCCGUUGGGAGGGGAAAUGGGCCAGCCAGCGGCCAGGUCCAAGCACGCAUCCUGAUGACUUUGGGCAUUAUUCUUAAAUCCGAU
Molecule: long non-coding RNA, 484 nt
Filed under: Drosophila guanche
Lineage: Eukaryota; Metazoa; Arthropoda; Insecta; Diptera; Drosophilidae
Source: RNAcentral